UACUUAUUUGUUUUUGCUGAAUUAUAAUAGCUAGUUUUGUUUAUUUAAUGUAAUUUCUAUGUUUCACGUUCAUACCUAAUCAUCGGACUACAAAGAUAAUCACUGAAGCUCUUGGCCGGUUGUAUGAUGCACCCUGUGCGACUUAGAGCGACUUUCCACCGGAGCUCGUGGAGCAAAUUUUCAACCAAUUUAAGACUAAGUGUGCCUCGGAGGACCGGCAUAACAGUGCCAUUGUUGUAAAUUUUGAGUUCAAAUGCCGUAAGAGACUAUCUCAUUCCUUCUAUUCUGCUCGGAAGAAGAGCAAGAAGCCUUCAUGGGUUCUACCGCACAUAUGGGAGGAUCUGCUGAGGCAGUGGACCACUGAGAAGUUCAAGAAGAAGAGUGAACAGGGAAAGAAGGCUCGAGCAUCUGAGAAGAGGUGGCUCCUUGCACUGUGUGGGUGCAAGGAGCAUGGGGACUGCGAGGAGACUACUGGGGAAAAAAUAUGGGAGGAAGAUGACUCAUGAUGAGUUC
Non-coding RNA from Nicotiana tabacum (common tobacco), 513 nucleotides. The record is from RefSeq and is a predicted model, not a curated record. NCBI's taxonomy places the organism in Eukaryota, Viridiplantae, Streptophyta, Magnoliopsida, Solanales, Solanaceae.